AGUCAGCUCUAUAGGUUCUGCAUUUCCUGUUCACGGCAGGUGGCGGUGGGGUGGUAUAUCUAGCGUUUAUCCUAAAAGUCAUUCAUGUGGCAACGGCCAUCACGCACAAGACAUCAAUUUUGUCGGCCAGCUUAUUAAUACUGACAGUAGGACGUUUGUUUGGGAGAAAAACAAGCCUUACAUCGUGAUAACUGGUGCAGGCUGUUACUGGGUGAAAAUAGGAGCAUUUGCAUCCAAGUCAAGCUCACCGCCAUCGCUACAGAUUACCAUUGACGAGGAGCCAGUUGCACUGUUCAACAGUUCAGGAAAAUCUCCGACCAGUUACAAAAUAAGUGUGACAUCUUCAGCUCCUAAGAGCCAGUCCAACCCGUCCCGACAUCGAUCAGACGUAUCACCAUGGCGACCAGGUUCCAGUCUAUCGGGUGCCAUCUUGGUACCGGGCCACAGUCGACUGGGGAUCUGGGCCGCUAGUACAGUAAGUGGAACAAGGCUCGCUGUGGAAGGCUAUCUAGAAAUACAUAAAGUGUACUAAAACACGCACUAAAUCCGCGAAAUAAAUAUUCUAAUUCCUAUUAUAUAGUGUUGAUGACAUGAUGGAAAACAAAAGUAUUGUUUAAUACCUAUUUUGCACUAUUUCUGUUUCACGCAUUCAGUGCGUCUAUACUCUAACUCCAGCAAUAGAGUCAUUUUCAUCAGACUGUGAAAUAGGAAGUGUACUAUUAAAUACUAUUACCCCCUAUUAGCUCCCAAUAAUUUAACUUAUGACAUGGGACAA
This is a long non-coding RNA of Exaiptasia diaphana, 775 nucleotides long. RefSeq lists it as uncharacterized. The record is from RefSeq and is a predicted model, not a curated record. The transcript is spliced from 5 exons. Lineage: Eukaryota; Metazoa; Cnidaria; Anthozoa; Actiniaria; Aiptasiidae.